ACAGACGCCGCCAUGUUGGAGCUGUAAGCAGACACGGCUGGAUGGCGCGCACGUCCGCCCGCGCACCGUUCUCUCCGUGACGAUGAACAGCGCCGUCAUCCGGCUGGAGCUGUCACACAGUGAAGAGAGCGCAGUAUUGGAGUGAUGUGCUGGUUCUUGCUAAAAGAUGGGUAGAGGAAUUUUGGACCAGCUGGAGACCAGCAGAGACUGGGUGAAUCCAAGCCCUGUUUCCGCAUCGACUGGACUGAUGUCAUCCACGGGAAACGGUUUUACUUCCAGCUCCGACCAAGUCAAGUCAGUCCAGCAGCUUCGGUUGAAGAAUUGAGUGGGAAAAGGUUUGGUCCAAAAGUGUUUUAUCACCAAUAACAUGAAAGAAAUGUCAUUAAAGUUAUUCAUACAUUUUACACUUUUUUUAACCAAAUCGUAAAAAGAUCUGGACACAAACUGUUCCUUUUGUCCUUCCUCACCAGAACCGCUGCCUCGUCUUUUUUGGUUUUUCUCCUUCACUCAAACAUUUUGGAAAGAUUUGACUCAUUUCAUAAUAACCCAUCUAAGUGAAGACUAUCAAUUAUUCUAUGAACAUAUUAUUUUUGGAUAUUUUACACGAGGUAGAUUUAAUGCAGAGAAAUUGUUAAACUAUAAAUAUGGUUAAACAUUUCAUUCACAAGUGUAAAUAUGUUAACAAAAAACAGUUUUCUUUAGUUUUUUUCCAAAAAGAAAUGAUUUUUAUGUCAAUAGAUUUAAAUCCUGCACUAACAAAAAGCUGUUACAACAGUUGAAGCAUUGUCACUUUUGAAACUUUAACAGAUUUCUUUACCUUUAUUAUUGUCGUUUUAUUUUUGUCUUUUUUAACCUGAUUUUUUUAUU
Non-coding RNA from Oryzias latipes (Japanese medaka), 867 nucleotides. NCBI's taxonomy places the organism in Eukaryota, Metazoa, Chordata, Actinopteri, Beloniformes, Adrianichthyidae. The record is from RefSeq and is a predicted model, not a curated record.